ACCCGCUGAACUUAAGCAUAUCAAUAAGCGGAGGAAAAGAAACCAACAGGGAUUGCUCUAGUAACGGCGAGUGAAGCGGCAACAGCUCAAAUUUGAAAUCUGGCUCUUUCAGGGUCCGAGUUGUAAUUUGCAGAGGGCGCUUUGGCGUUGGCAGCGGUCCAAGUUCUUUGGAACAGGACGUCACAGAGGGUGAGAAUCCCGUACGUGGUCGCUAGCCUUCGCCGUGUAAAGCCCCUUCGACGAGUCGAGUUGUUUGGGAAUGCAGCUCUAAAUGGGAGGUAAAUUUCUUCUAAAGCUAAAUACUGGCCAGAGACCGAUAGCGCACAAGUAGAGUGAUCGAAAGAUGAAAAGCACUUUGGAAAGAGAGUCAAAUAGCACGUGAAAUUGUUGAAAGGGAAGCGCUUGCAGCCAGACUUGCCUGUAGUUGCUUAUCCGGACUUUUGUCCGGUGCACUCUUCUGCGGGCAGGCCAGCAUCAGUUUGGGCGGUUGGAUAAAGGUCUCUGUCAUGUACCUCCUUUCGGGGAGGCCUUAUAGGGGAGACGACAUGCAACCAGCCUGGACUGAGGUCCGCGCAUCUGCUAGGAUGCUGGCGUAAUGGCUGUAAGCGGCCCGUCUUGAAACACGG
This 626-nucleotide ribosomal RNA is filed under the name uncultured fungus. Its description in RNAcentral is "LSU rRNA". It matches the Rfam family "Eukaryotic large subunit ribosomal RNA", at positions 23 to 664 of the family's 3401-position model. Lineage: Eukaryota; Fungi. The record is from RNAcentral.